Molecule: ribosomal RNA, 469 nt
Filed under: uncultured bacterium
Lineage: Bacteria
Description: bacterial SSU rRNA
Rfam family: Bacterial small subunit ribosomal RNA
Source: RNAcentral
AUUAAACGCUGGCGGCAUGCCUUACACAUGCAAGUCGAACGGCAGCACGGGGGCAACCCUGGUGGCGAGUGGCGGACGGGUGAGUAAAGCAUCGGAACGUAUCCUGGAGUGGGGGAUAACGUAGCGAAAGUUACGCUAAUACCGCAUAUUCUGUGAGCAGGAAAGCAGGGGAUCGCAAGACCUUGCGCUCUGGGAGCGGCCGAUGUCGGAUUAGCUAGUUGGUGGGGUAAAGGCCUACCAAGGCGACGAUCCGUAGCGGGUCUGAGAGGAUGAUCCGCCACACUGGGACUGAGACACGGCCCAGACUCCUACGGGAGGCAGCAGUGGGGAAUUUUGGACAAUGGGCGGAAGCCUGAUCCAGCCAUGCCGCGUGAGUGAAGAAGGCCUGGUUGUAAGACUCUUCGGUCGGGGAAGGAAAGUUAGCACGGGUUAAGUACCCUACGUGUAGGAUGACGGUACCCGAACGUAA